This 253-nucleotide ribosomal RNA is filed under the name uncultured bacterium. RNAcentral describes it as "partial 16S ribosomal RNA". It matches the Rfam family "Bacterial small subunit ribosomal RNA", at positions 524 to 776 of the family's 1533-position model. The record is from RNAcentral.
UACGAAGGGGGCUAGCGUUGUUCGGAAUUACUGGGCGUAAAGCGCACGUAGGCGGAUAUUUAAGUCAGGGGUGAAAUCCCAGAGCUCAACUCUGGAACUGCCUUUGAUACUGGGUAUCUUGAGUAUGGAAGAGGUAAGUGGAAUUGCGAGUGUAGAGGUGAAAUUCGUAGAUAUUCGCAGGAACACCAGUGGCGAAGGCGGUUUACUGGUCCAUUACUGACGCUGAGGUGCGAAAGCGUGGGGAGCAAACAGG